AUUGAACGCUGGCGGCAGGCCUAACACAUGCAAGUCGAGCGAGCGGCGGACGGGUGAGUAAUGUAUGGGGACUGCCCGAUAGAGGGGGAUAACUACUGGAAACGGUGGCUAAUACCGCAUACUAUCGGAUAACCCAUAUGGGAUUAGCUAGUAGGUGGGGUAAAGGCUCACCUAGGCGACGAUCUCUAGCUGGUCUGAGAGGAUGAUCAGCCACACUGGGACUGAGACACGGCCCAGACUCCUACGGAGGCAGCAGUGGGGAAUAUUGGACAAUGGGCGAAAGCCUGAUCGAGCCAUGCCGCGUGUAUGAAGAAGGCCUUCGGGUUGUAAAGUACUGUCAGUGGGGAGGCGUUACUCGAAGAAGAAGCACCGGCUAACUCCGUGCCAGCAGCCGCGGUAAUAC
Molecule: ribosomal RNA, 403 nt
Filed under: uncultured bacterium
Lineage: Bacteria
Description: partial 16S ribosomal RNA
Rfam family: Bacterial small subunit ribosomal RNA
Source: RNAcentral